GACUCGAGCAAUCAUACCUUGUGUUGUUGGUUUAGUGUUUGGAAGAGUUUAGAACAGAGGGUACAUGUAAAGAAACAGUAGAUUAAUUUGAGCCGGACAUGCUGGUAGUGUCGAUCAACAAUCAGCCAUUGGUCCGACUCCGAGCGAAUCGUGCGUGGGGUGGCGCGGAUUCAGAUCCUCUGCAGUCGGGCACCGCGACGUCGCUCUGCAGUCAAGCAAAUCCACCGUCCACCCGCGAUCCUACGAUGCUUCCCCUGAUGGCUCACGCGCUCCGCUCUCCUGGCCGACGGUUGACUCGCCAACAGGAGGACGCCGAUUUCCUUCUCAUUCGAUGCAUCCUCUGCAGCUCCGCACGCCGCCGCAAAGCGUCGGACCCCUCGCCGCCGGAUUCCCUCGCCGCCCAGCCUCCUCCCUCCUUCCCCGCCGCAGUCGUUCGCUCUCCUCCAUGAGCACCGCCGCGGUGACCUGCCGCGCGCCGCAAGCUGUUGCCGGCGCCCUCGAAGCCCGCGAUAGGCGGCAGCGACGGCGACGCGGACGGCGGGCCGCCCAGCGCCAGCAGCCGCGUAGCCACCGCCGGCGGCAGCGCGGACGGCGAGUCGCCCAGCGGGGGCAGCACCGUGGCCACCGGCACGGCGGCGUGCGGCCCAGCGCCCAGGGAUUUCCAGGCUCACCGUUUGGGCAGGCUCCACCUCCAGACAUACAGUCAGUGCAGUUUCUCAGUAGCAAUCCUCAACUGAGCCACCAGACUACAGAUCAAGGCCAACUGGUGGUACAGCCGACAAAGUUGAAGAAAUAGAGCAAGACUGUAUAACUUGUGAUUGUAUCUAAAGUAGCAAAAUCAUGCAAAUUGUAAAGAUUGACAGUGUGUUGUAAAUUUACUUGGAAUUGAAUAAGAAGUGAUGCUAAUUAUUUCAAGUUCAGAGAUGCACAAAA
Molecule: long non-coding RNA, 933 nt
Organism: Panicum virgatum (switchgrass)
Lineage: Eukaryota; Viridiplantae; Streptophyta; Magnoliopsida; Poales; Poaceae
Exons: 2
Source: RefSeq, a predicted model, not a curated record